RNAcentral lists this ribosomal RNA (433 nucleotides) under uncultured bacterium. RNAcentral's name for it is "partial 16S ribosomal RNA". It matches the Rfam family "Bacterial small subunit ribosomal RNA", at positions 29 to 507 of the family's 1533-position model. The record is from RNAcentral.
AACGAACGCUGGCGGCAUGCCUAACACAUGCAAGUCGAACGAGACCUUCGGGCCUAGUGGCGCACGUGUGCGUAACGCGGGGGAAGUUGCCCUUAGGUUCGGUAUAACUCCCCGAGAGGUGUGCUAAUACAGGUGAGGCUCUUAGGACCUAGGAUUUAUCGCCGCUGGAUGGGCGCGGGUUGGAUUAGCUGGUUGGUAGGGUAAAAGCCUAGCAAGGGCACGAUGCAGAGCUGGUGUGAUAGGAGGCUCAUCCACACUGGGAAUGAGGCACGGCCCAGUCUCCUACGGAGGGGAGCAGUGUGGAAUAUUGGACAAGGGAGGAAGGCCUGGCCCAGCCAUGCGGGGUGAGUGAUGCAGGCCUUAGGGUUGUAAAGCUCUUUUACCCGGGGUGUUAAUGACAGUACCGGGAGAAUAAGCUCCGGCUAACUCCGUG